AUUGAAAAGGGCAACUCACAAGAAGGACGGGAACAGCAAGCCGCUCUUUCGGCGUUUAUCGCCGACCUUGACUGCAUGACUCGCACUAAACUUUGGCCAAGGCUUUACAAAGCACAUAAACAGCACCGCAUCCAUUCUUCCGAGCUCAUUGCAGUUCGUGCAAACGCUACGAGCACUAGUACGGUACACGCGCUAAAAGGCCGGACUGGUGAUUCUUUUUCAAGUCACAGAGCGUGCUCAACAUGUAAUUAUCUUUCAAACAUUAUGUCUGACGGACAAGUUGCAGACCUGGGACCUAGGCCUUGCGAAAGAGUGACAUGUCUGGCCAACGAAAGUAAAAUAAUUAUUUUGGGUUGCCCACCACCACCUGAAUGCCCAUAUGGAGAAAACGAAGACUUGUGGCCGAACUGCUGCAACAGGGCAACAGAGGUAUAUUGCGGCAGUGGAUCACUUCAGUAUCACUACUAAUGCCAGAGGCAGUAUGCUUUUCUCGCCAUUGUUACAACCAUACAGAAUGUUACAAAAAUUACAGUUUUCCAAUACAUGAUAUGGUCAGUGCGGACAAUUGAAGAAUUUAGAUUAAAUGGAUUUAUGUAUGCCUCAAAA
Molecule: long non-coding RNA, 606 nt
Organism: Dermacentor andersoni
Lineage: Eukaryota; Metazoa; Arthropoda; Arachnida; Ixodida; Ixodidae
Source: RefSeq, a predicted model, not a curated record